CAAAAUGUAAUUUCCUUUAUUUGUACCAGUUUUUAGAGCUGUCAGAAUUUCAUGAUUCUAGUUCACCAACACAUUCACGUGUGUACAUGCGCGUGCACACACACCACCAAGGUGCAAGACAGAUGUGAAUGAAGUAGACAGUCUAGAAGUCAGGUGAAUAUUAAUGAGAAAUAUGACAUAGGGACAGCCCUCCCAUUUCUACUUCCACCUUCAUUGACCAUUAUACUGCCCCCUGGACAUUCUUACCAUUAGCUGACAGGUAUGCAAGCAGAGUGCUGAAGAUGUCUCAUGUGAAUAAAAUGUAACUCACUCACUCAGUUAAAACUAGGAUUCUGUAUCUUAACUCUUAUCUAGGGAACUUACUUACUUACCCCAUGAUCUGUAUAUAGUUGCCUCUCAGGAUAAAUGCAUAUAUAGAAGAUGGUCAUGCUCAGGGCUAAAUAUGUUCUGGAAGCCUUUUAUAAGUUCUCAGGCCUGUGUCCUGGUAAACAUUACCUUAGUGAUUAUUUGGUCUGCAUUCAUUGGAAGAGCUUAGGGAUAGAAAAUGCCUCCUGCCCUCUCCAGCUGUUUGCUGCCUGUACCAUCGCACAGAACUCACACCAGUACUUUAGAGUAUGAAAGAUAAUACUGAAGAGAAAAGUGACUUGUAUCUAACAUUUCAAUCUCCUUGCAGAUUUCAUACAUACUUAAUGAUUAGUACAUUCAGACUAAAGGGAAAUUUCUUUUGAUGGCACGUACUAUGGUAAAUCAAAGCGCAAACUCAGAAGUGCUAUGGUAUUGAGGCACUUACCAACCUUCAAAAGUAAGAGUAAAAUGGGAUAUUCCUACCCUUUUUUUUAGUAUUUCUAAGUGAAUCUCUGUAAUAUUCUUUGU
RNAcentral lists this long non-coding RNA (873 nucleotides) under Homo sapiens (human). RNAcentral's name for it is "long non-coding RNA NONHSAT249430". The record is from RNAcentral. Lineage: Eukaryota; Metazoa; Chordata; Mammalia; Primates; Hominidae.